GGGGUGAAGCUUGGUGGUAGAGCUUGUGCUUAGCAUGUGCAAGGCCCUGGGUUCCAAUCCCAGCCCCA
RNAcentral lists this transfer RNA (68 nucleotides) under Marmota monax (woodchuck). Its description in RNAcentral is "tRNA.Ala". It matches the Rfam family "tRNA". From Rfam's summary of the family: Transfer RNA (tRNA) molecules are approximately 80 nucleotides in length. The record is from RNAcentral. Lineage: Eukaryota; Metazoa; Chordata; Mammalia; Rodentia; Sciuridae.